Molecule: ribosomal RNA, 301 nt
Filed under: uncultured bacterium
Lineage: Bacteria
Description: partial 16S ribosomal RNA
Rfam family: Bacterial small subunit ribosomal RNA
Source: RNAcentral
CAGUAGCCGCGGUAAUACGGAGGGAGCUAGCGUUGUUCGGAAUUACUGGACGUAAAGCGCGCGUAGGCGGUUACUCAAGUCAGAGGUGAAAGCCCGGGGCUCAACCCCGGAACUGCCUUUGAAACUAGGUGACUAGAAUCUUGGAGAGGUCAGUGGAAUUCCGAGUGUAGAGGUGAAAUUCGUAGAUAUUCGGAAGAACACCAGUGGCGAAGGCGACUGACUGGACAAGUAUUGACGCUGAGGUGCGAAAGCGUGGGGAGCAAACAGGAUUAGAUACCCCCGUAGUCCCUGUCUCUUAUAC